GGGCUCCUUACUUAUGCCAGAAAUAAAAAGCUGUACCAGAUGUCUUGUCUUUAAGGAGCUAUUUGUCUAAUAUAAAGGAAUUUCUACAGUAAUUUAUUCUUAUUCUUAAUUACCAAAUUGGGUGGUAAGAAUGUAUGAAAUUUUGUUAUAAACGUUAAUGCAGCAUGUUACCAUGUUUUCCUUAAAAGUAUGGGCUAGGGUCCUAUCCCUCUGGGUCAACUAGAGGCCAGUGCUCUCUGGCCACCUGUAAAUUCUAGUAUCUAAUAGGGCUUUAAGAAUUCUAUCCUUCUCUGUCUUCUUUAUGGAAUUUGUGCUUUCUUAUUUAUGCACUUUGACUUCUAGGUUUUUAAUUUUAUGAACAUAGUACUUUUUUGUUUAUUUAUUUUGUUUUUUAGCUGACAAUGGACCUUUAUUUUAUUUAUUUAUAUACAGUGCUGAGAAUCGAACCCAGGGCCUCACCUGGGCUAGGCAAGUGCUCUACCACUGAGCCUGAACACAGUACUUUUGAGAUUAACACAGAUGUCAGAACAGUCAUAUUUGAUCCUCUUGUGACUUAGUUGAAACACUUCAUCUCAUGACUGCUAUUUGAAGUCUCCUGAAAAAAACAUUAAAGUGAAAGUCAAUAGAGCCAAGAAUGUAUUAAGAUCUUUCAUUUAAAAUAUGAACUCUCUUGACACAACCCUUCAAAAUUUCCAGGAACUGCUCUUAAGUUAUGGGCUCUUAAUUUUUUUUCCUGAUUAGUAGUAGGUGAAAAAGCUUACCUGUCAAUUUUCCCCCCAAAACUAUUUCUAUA
RNAcentral lists this long non-coding RNA (793 nucleotides) under Marmota monax (woodchuck). Lineage: Eukaryota; Metazoa; Chordata; Mammalia; Rodentia; Sciuridae. The record is from RNAcentral.